AAAAUUGGUCAAAAGUGAGAGGCAACUUCUAUAAUUCAAAAUUGCCCUUCUCAAUUCCUGAUCACGUGCCACACCAAAAGCCUAAUUUUCCACCCGUUCACCAAGUUCAUGCUUCUUCACAAACUCAUCUUCCACCCAUUCUCCACCUCCUUGCCCUCAUCCGCGCCUUUCACAAAUGGCAUAGGCGACACCACUAAUUAGAAAACAAAAGCAAGAAAUUAAUUUCCAACUCCAAACUGCAACAAAAGAAUUCGUUCUUCAGCGAACGGAUUGCCGAAUCAAAGAGAGGAUUGUGUGCGGGUAUGAAGAAUAGGCGAAAUGGGUUAGUCAACUGAUUGGAGAUGGCUGGAGAUGGCUAUAGGUGAUUAGUGAAGUUUUCAGGUGGAUGAGCCGCGAGGAAAGGAAGCCGGCAGUCUGGUGAAGAGGAGGUUAGCCUUGUGGGGUGAACUAGGAUGUUAGAGCUGGGUUUGUAAGAGGGAUUAAAUAAAAGAUCGAGGCGAAUGCGCCUGUUGGUUUCGGUGAGGAAAGGGGAAAAUGGCGUGGGUUCAAUCUGGUGAGGAGCUGUCGGUGAGAAGGGCUAUGCGAGUUGGUGUGCCACCCAUGGUGACGGUGAUGAAGGUUAAGUAGUUCUUAGCCUUCUUUACAACGACCGCAAUCCUUCCAAUACCCACCAUUACCCAGAAAAGCAUCAAUCACAACAUGAAGGAGAGGGUAGGGUCAGACAUGAUUACUAUCUACCGAUCUAUAAUCCUUUACAAAAUGUGUCUAUGGACUUAAAGAGAUUUUGUUAGUUGAUUGAAAAAACUUGUUAAUUUGGAUUUGAUUACAGGAAAUUGUGAUGGAGCUAAUUAAUUGGUGAUUUUGAAAUUGGAG
Molecule: unclassified non-coding RNA, 873 nt
Filed under: Hevea brasiliensis (rubber tree)
Lineage: Eukaryota; Viridiplantae; Streptophyta; Magnoliopsida; Malpighiales; Euphorbiaceae
Source: RNAcentral